Molecule: ribosomal RNA, 484 nt
Filed under: uncultured bacterium
Lineage: Bacteria
Description: partial 16S ribosomal RNA
Rfam family: Bacterial small subunit ribosomal RNA
Source: RNAcentral
AUUGAACGCUGGCGGCAGGCCUAACACAUGCAAGUCGAGCGGAUGAAGGGAGCUUGCUCCUGGAUUCAGCGGCGGACGGGUGAGUAAUGCCUAGGAAUCUGCCUGGUAGUGGGGGAUAACGUCCGGAAACGGGCGCUAAUACCGCAUACGUCCUGAGGGAGAAAGUGGGGGAUCUUCGGACCUCACGCUAUCAGAUGAGCCUAGGUCGGAUUAGCUAGUUGGUGGGGUAAAGGCCUACCUAGGCGACGAUCCGUAACUGGUCUGAGAGGAUGAUCAGUCACACUGGAACUGAGACACGGUCCAGACUCCUAAGGGAGGGAGCAGUGGGGAAUAUUGGACAAUGGGCGAAAGCCUGAUCCAGCCAGGCCGCGUGUGUGAAGAAGGUCUUCGGAUUGUAAAGCACGUUAAGUUGGGAGGAAGGGCAGUAAGUUAAUACCUUGCUGUCUUGACGUUACCAACAGAAUAAGCACCGGCUAACUUCGUG